GUGCCCGCCGCUUCAGCAGCACAUAUUCUAAAACUGGAAUGACACAGAGAAGAUCAGCAUGGCCCCUAAAAAAAAGGAGAAAAAAAAUCUUUAAAAAAAGGAAAGCAAUCUCU
This 113-nucleotide small nuclear RNA is filed under the name Erinaceus europaeus (western European hedgehog). The record is from RNAcentral. Lineage: Eukaryota; Metazoa; Chordata; Mammalia; Eulipotyphla; Erinaceidae.